This is a long non-coding RNA of Sycon ciliatum, 832 nucleotides long. RefSeq lists it as uncharacterized. The record is from RefSeq and is a predicted model, not a curated record. The transcript has 2 exons. Lineage: Eukaryota; Metazoa; Porifera; Calcarea; Leucosolenida; Sycettidae.
CAAGGAAAACUGAGCCGUGCUGUGGUCGCUCUCUGGCACAAGCGCGCGCACGAACACGCAGGCACAAGCAGGCAAGCGCGAAUACCCAAACGCAUCAAACAAAUGCUAAUGUCAUCUUUCUGUUUACGGAAUGAAGAAGAAUUUGUUCUCUACGACAGCCGCGCACGUUCUGACUUCUAUUCCACGCAAGACGUGUAUGCCCGAAACCAGCGAUAAGCACUCAUCAUUUCACCGCCCGCCGCUGACUGAGCCUGGAAUAGAACGCUGGUACAAGACGCGAAAGUCCGAGAACAUUCCCUCAGUUCCUUGCGACUGCUUCAACGCUCCACAUCUACCUCUCCACUCCACAGUUCUCAUCGACCAAGCAAACCUUCCUCUCAACAUGGACAGGGACUCUUCUACGACCUCCAUCACGAAGAUCACGAAAGUGGUCGAGACGGAUGACGCCAUUUAUGUGGAGGAGACGACCAUCACCGAAUCCGAGUAGAGAUAUACACGUACUGCCUUCGAUGAUUGUAUAUAAGCCAUCCGUGUUGUCGUAAGCCUUCGUUUUUCGUCAUAGAUAUGUUGAGCGUAGUACACUUUACUCAACCCCCCCCCCCCCCCUCUCUCUCUCCUUGUGACUACCAACUACCGCAUAGCAUGUUUGAGGCUUAGCAUUGAGCACCCUCUCGUUCAUGUGAUGCUCCAUACUCUCAUUCUUUUCACCGUGCAACGUACUCCUAGUUGAUGGCCGGAUCUCCACAAUCAUGUUCUUCUUGAUCUUACCUUCCAGAUGUCAUUCAAAGUUAUCUUGACGAACAGAUAGAAUUCAAAGCCUGAAAAUUCCUUA